AGUGAACGCUGGCGGUAGGCCUAACACAUGCAAGUCGAACGGCAGCACAGUAAGAGCUUGCUCUUACGGGUGGCGAGUGGCGGACGGGUGAGGAAUACCUCGGAAUCUACUUUUUCGUGGGGGAUAACGUAGGGAAACUUACGCUAAUACCGCAUACGACCUACGGGUGAAAGCAGGGGAUCUUCGGACCUUGCGCGAUUGAAUGAGCCGAUGUCGGAUUAGCUAGUUGGCGGGGUAAAGGCCCACCAAGGCGACGAUCGGUAGCUGGUCUGAGAGGAUGAUAAGCCACAUUGAAACUAGAAACCGGCCCAGACUCCUAGGGGAGGCAGCAGUGGGGAAUAUUGACAAAUGGGCGCAAGCCUGAUCCAGCCAUACCGCGUGGGUGAGAAAGGCCUUCGGGUGGUAAAGCCCUUUUGUUGGGAAAGAAAAGCAGCAGGUUAAUACCCCGCUGUUCUGACGGUACCCAAAGAAUAAGCACCGGCUAACUUCGU
This 491-nucleotide ribosomal RNA is filed under the name uncultured bacterium. Its description in RNAcentral is "partial 16S ribosomal RNA". It matches the Rfam family "Bacterial small subunit ribosomal RNA", at positions 29 to 506 of the family's 1533-position model. The record is from RNAcentral.